CGAGGGUAGCGAGGGUAGCGAGGGUAGCGAAGGUAGCGGAGGUAGCGAAGGUAGCGAAGGUAGCGAGGGUAGCGAAGGUAGCGAGGGUAGCGAAGGUAGCGAGGGUAGCGAAGGUAGCGAGGGUAGCGAGGGUAGCGAGGGUAGCGAGGGUAGCGAAGGUAGCGAAGGUAACGAGGGUAGCGAUCAAUCAAUCAAUCAAUCAAUCAAUCAAUCAACUGACACGGUGAAAUCUAAUCUAAGAGAUUAUGACUAACAUAUAAUGUGGUUAUAAUUAAAAUUGACUUAGAGAGAGCAUGUUGCUCGUACAUUUUGCGGUAACUCGUUCCACAUCACUUCCCCGCUAUAACUAAAAACUUCGUUUACUGUAGUUCGUUCGUGGUUUUGGCACAAAUAAGGUGUGUCCAGAGUUUCUCAAUUAUAUCCUGUGCUNNNNNNNNNNNNNNNNNNNNGGUAGCAAAGGUAGCGAGGGUAGCGAAGGUAGCGAAGGUAGCGAAGGUAGCGAAGGUAGCGAAGGUAGCGAAGGUAGCGAAGGUAGCGAAGGUAGCGAAGGUAGCGAGGGUAGCGAGGGUAGCGAAGGUAGCGAGGGUAGCGAGGGUAGCGAAGGUAGCGAGGGUAGCGAAGGUAGCGAGGGUAGCGAAGGUAGGGAGGGUGGCGUAGGUAGGGAGGGUAGCG
Molecule: long non-coding RNA, 672 nt
Filed under: Paramuricea clavata
Lineage: Eukaryota; Metazoa; Cnidaria; Anthozoa; Malacalcyonacea; Plexauridae
Source: RNAcentral